This 453-nucleotide ribosomal RNA is filed under the name uncultured bacterium. Its description in RNAcentral is "bacterial SSU rRNA". It matches the Rfam family "Bacterial small subunit ribosomal RNA", at positions 340 to 785 of the family's 1533-position model. The record is from RNAcentral.
UACGGGAGGCAGCAGUGGGGAAUAUUGCACAAUGGGCGCAAGCCUGAUGCAGCCAUGCCGCGUGUAUGAAGAAGGCCUUCGGGUUGUAAAGUACUUUCAGUCGUGAGGAAGGUGUUAAGGUUAAUAACCUUAGCAAUUGACGUUAGCGACAGAAGAAGCACCGGCUAACUCCGUGCCAGCAGCCGCGGUAAUACGGAGGGUGCGAGCGUUAAUCGGAAUUACUGGGCGUAAAGGGCACGCAGGCGGUUAAUUAAGUUGGAUGUGAAAUCCCCGGGCUUAACCUGGGAAUGGCAUUCAAGACUGGUUAGCUAGAGUCUUGUAGAGGGGGUUAGAAUUCCAUGUGUAGCGGUGAAAUGCGUAGAGAUGUGGAGGAAUACCGGUGGCGAAGGCGGCCCCUGGACAAAGACUGACGCUCAUGUGCGAAAGCGUGGGGAGCAAACAGGGAUUAGAUAC